AGUAUAUAAUGCAGAGUGUGUGUUUGUAUGAGUGUGUGUGUAUAUAAUGCAGAGUGUGUGCAUUAUAUACACACACACUCAUACAAACACACACUCUGCAUUAUAUAC
Molecule: microRNA precursor, 108 nt
Filed under: Pelobates cultripes (western spadefoot toad)
Lineage: Eukaryota; Metazoa; Chordata; Amphibia; Anura; Pelobatidae
Source: RNAcentral